UAAAAACAGGUUGAAAUGUCUAAUAUAUUCUCAAACCAGACAGAAAAAAAACACUGAGAUAAAAUAGAUAUUGUGAAUGUCCUGCUUCCAUAUUUAAACAAGAUUAAAGGGUUUUGCAGAACAAGGGCUUUAAAAAAGAGCUGAAUAUAAUUUGAAUAGAGCAUUCAAUAAUUAUCCAUACUACAGCUUCAAAGAUUAUGUUCCUGUCUCUGCUUGGAUUCCUUCCAAGAAACUGGAAAUAUACAUAAAUUUUGAGAAACUAGUUCUUGUUAGGAUGUUAAUUAGUUACUUGCACUGGUUUCUUUGUCCCUGUCCAUUUUACAGUUAUAGUUAACAAAUGUAAUUAUAUUCAUUUGGCAGCAUGCCUUUGCAAUGGACCACCUAUCUUUGGAAUGCAGAAUGUAGUUUAAGCAAGAUGGCAAUAAAUGCAUAUGCCAUGUUACAUUCUGAUUUUAUUUUUUGCUAUCAAACAGGUGUUAAAUGUGCCAAAACAUGUAUUAGCAUACAAACUGCUAAUGUACAAUCUCAAAUAUGGAUCUAAAUAUCAAAUUAUAACUUCAAAGAUCCUGAUAUCAAUUUACCUGAAUAUGAUACAACUUGGGCACGACUAUCAUGGCAUUCUCUCAGAGAUAUAUCAGAUGACUUAGCAUCCUCUGAGUAGCCUACCUAUUCUGACAAAGAAAAACAUUGUUUGAGGAAGUGGGUCAUAUGUGUGUAGAGAUGUUUGCUGGAAAGUCCUGGAAUUCCAUGGUUCUGAUCAGUGUACCACAUUGCCUGGAAAUCCACCUGUGCAUUAACCAGAGCUUUUGCAAUUUGUGCUGAGUUCUGAAAAUGUACGUUAUCAUCUGCUGUUCCAUGAAUGAGAAGAUACUCAACGUUUUGGAAAUUCUUUGCUCUUGCCAUCACAGUUGAAUUCUUAUAGUGCUCAAGAUUAUCGGACUCUACAGGAAGACCCAUAAAUCGUUCUGUGUAGAUAGAUGCGUAAUAUUCCCAACUGGAAACAGGAGCCACAGCUAUUCCACAUUUAAAUACUCCACUGCCAGAUCCAAGUGCCAGAGAAGUUACAUAUCCACCAUAGGACCAGCCCCAUAUUGCUAUUCGUUUCUCAUCAAUAAAACCCAUUUCUAUAAAUUUCUUCACGGCUGAAAUUUGGUCCUCAACUUCAUAGACUCCUAGUCUUCGAUAAACUGCAUGCAAAAUCUUGUCACCU
Molecule: long non-coding RNA, 1210 nt
Filed under: Gallus gallus (chicken)
Lineage: Eukaryota; Metazoa; Chordata; Aves; Galliformes; Phasianidae
Source: RNAcentral